Humulus lupulus (European hop) is the source of this 1173-nucleotide long non-coding RNA. RefSeq lists it as uncharacterized. NCBI's taxonomy places the organism in Eukaryota, Viridiplantae, Streptophyta, Magnoliopsida, Rosales, Cannabaceae. The transcript has 4 exons. The record is from RefSeq and is a predicted model, not a curated record.
CACAGUGGUAAUAUAAUAUUUUGUAUUGAUUGCUUCAAUGCUUUUAGCCAGGUCUUAAUGAGAAAUUAAAAUGCAUAAAGCAACAUUCAAUGUUGGAAGUUUCUUUGAUUAAUAUUCAGGUUCAAGGUUAGGAAAUCAAUCAAAGAGACUGCCUUAAUUCUCUCUAAUGAUGAUGUUGAUGGUGGCAGGGCUUGGCAAGGCGAGGUGUAGGCUCGAUGCAUGGAGGUGGGACUGUGGGGAUGGUGUUGUAACAGCGGGGACUUCAAUGCGACUAGGGUACCGUUGCCGUGAAGAAAAUGGUUUAUUUUGAUUACAUCCCCACUUAUCUAAAAGGCUAAGCUUCUAUGGAGGGGUGCUGAGUGUUGGAAUGAGUGUUUAAAGCUUUUGGGCGUUGCUGAAGCAGCAGAAGCAUCAAUGGAUUCUGACCAGUUAAGCUCUGGAAUUUCAGAUUUUGAUACUCACUUUCAAGGCCUCAUAGUUCAGAAAAGGUCUCUUUCUCUCUCUCUCUCUCUCUAUAUAUAUAUUUAUAUAACUGCAGUUGUCUCAACUUAUUUCUAUAUUCUAUUCCAUAUUUGUCAUUUGUGAAAUGUUCAGUUUUAACUAGUGUGAAGUAUAUGGUUGUUGUUGAUGAAUGGAAUGCACUAGUACAUAAUGGAAAACUAGGCGAAUAAUGCAUUCCACUAUAUUUUUUUACCAGUUAUUAUUUUUUGUUUUUAGUUUCCCUUUAUUUGAAAAUAAACAACAACUUAAGCUAUGAAACUGUUUUUUUUUACAGAAUAUACUUUUUCUCCCUUCUCCCUUCUUUGAACAUUCUUUGUUUCAUGUACAAACCUUGUUGUUUCUUUUUCAUAGUUUAGUUAGCAAGAGAGUAAAUAAAAGGUUGUGCUAUUUAUGAUUGUUGUAGUUUAAUUUGAUGAAUGUGUAUAUAUGUCUAUUUGCUAACUCAGGUAGCUGGAAUUUAUAGUGGUUAUCUCUUGUUUAUUUCUCUGAAUUGGUAUAUUUUUUGAGUUAUUUUAUUUUGUUUCUUAGUCAUUGAGUUGUUAUAAUAUAUGGCUUGAGUGUAUUCUAGUUUCUUGUUUGGCCUUUUAUUUUCUUGAGUUAUUUGAUUCCUUCUAGCUUUUCCUUUAUUUUGAAGUUGUUUAGAGAGCAAUAUAAGGGAAUUAUUUUCUAAGU